RNAcentral lists this long non-coding RNA (1478 nucleotides) under Struthio camelus australis. RNAcentral's name for it is "lncRNA (ENSSCUG00000018409.1)". The record is from RNAcentral. Lineage: Eukaryota; Metazoa; Chordata; Aves; Struthioniformes; Struthionidae.
CGAGGGACAGGGCACCCCAUGGCACAGGGACACCCCCAUGGCACAGGGACACCACCCCUGAGCCCAUCGAGGGACAGGGCACCCCAUGGGACAGGGACACUGCUGAGCCCACCAAGGGAUGGGGCACCCCAUGGCACAGGGACACCGCUGAGCCCACUGAGAGAUGGGGCACCCUAUGGGACAGGGACACCCCCAUGGCACAGGGACACCACCCCUGAGCCCAUCGAGGGACAGGGCACCCCAUGGGACAGGGACACUGCUGAGCCCACCAAGGGAUGGGGCACCCCAUGGCACAGGGUCACCCCAUAGCACAGGGACAACCCUAGCCCCAUCAAGGGAUGGGCCACCCCAUGGCACAGGGGCACCCCUAGACCCCCAAGAGAUGCAGCACUCCAUUGUACAGGGACACCCCCAUGGCACAGGCACACCCCUGAGCCCACCAAGGGACAUGGCACCCCAUGGGAUAGGGACACCCCCAUGCCCAUCGAGGGACAGGGCACCCCAUGGCACAGGGACACCCCCAUGGCACAGGGACACCCCUAGACCCAUAGCGAGACAGGGCACCCCAUGCCACACGGACACCCCCAUGCCACAGGGACACCCCCAAGCCCACCAAGGGACAGGGACACCCCCAUGGCACAGGGACACCACCCCUGAGCCCAUCGAGGGACAGGGCACCCCAUGGGACAGGGACACUGCUGAGCCCACCAAGGGAUGGGGCACCCCAUGGCACAGGGUCACCCCAUAGCACAGGGACAACCCUAGCCCCAUCAAGGGAUGGGCCACCCCAUGGCACAGGGGCACCCCUAGACCCCCAAGAGAUGCAGCACUCCAUUGUACAGGGACACCCCCAUGGCACAGGCACACCCCUGAGCCCACCAAGGGACAUGGCACCCCAUGGGAUAGGGACACCCCCAUGCCCAUCGAGGGACAGGGCACCCCAUGGCACAGGGACACCCCCAUGGCACAGGGACACCACCCCUGAGCCCAUCGAGGGACAGGGCACCCCAUGGCACAGCGGGGUGGCCGUGGGCACGGGCCCCCCACAGCCAGAAAAGCCACCGCUACCGACCCAAGCCCUGCCCCACGGCCCACCUGGGCCAGCCCCUGUCCCAUAGUUGCCCCAUGGCCACCUCCCCCCAUGGUCACCUCGUGUCCACCCUUGCCCCAUGGCCACCCCACGGCUACCUCAUCCCAUGCCAACCCCUGCCUCAUGAUUACUCCAUGGCCACCUCAUCCCAUGGUCACCUCGUGCCCACCCUUGCCCCAUGGCCACCCCAUGGCUACCUCAUCCCAUGCCAACCCCUGCCUCAUGAUUACCCCAUGGCCAGCUCCCCCCAUGGUCACCUCGUGCCCAGCCUUGACCCAUGGCCACCCCAUGGCUACCUCAUCCCAUGCCAAUCUCUGCCCCAUAGUUACCCCAUGGCCACCUCACCCACAUGGUCACCUUGUGCCCACCGUUGCUCCAUGGCCACCUC